AAACUGAUGCAGGAAAGCCUACUUUCCAACCAGAUAAGAUUUUUUUCCCUUGUAAACAAUCAUGGGACCCUAAAAUUAUCUAUUUAUUUUCAUAUACAUGUUAAAGGGUGCCUCAAUUUUAUAACCAUGGGGCCAUCAGAUCAGAUACAACAACAUUAUAGUACUGUGACUGCUACUGUCCCAUGUUCGCUUUAGGAUGCAUUACUUUUUCAUUUUUCUACACCUUCCACAUUUAAUGCUCAGCCUAAGGAGGGAGAAGCACAAAUGCACAAGCCCCAGUCUCUCAUUCAACCCGGGGCUUGUUCAUAAACUGAAAAGGGUUAAGUACCAAAACUAAUUGCACAAGAAAAGUUUAAAAAGAAACAGUAGAAUUCUUGCUAUUUAUUGCCUCCCUUCGUCUCCACUUAGCACCAAUCUCCUCUCUCUCUCUC
Molecule: long non-coding RNA, 431 nt
Filed under: Phoenix dactylifera (date palm)
Lineage: Eukaryota; Viridiplantae; Streptophyta; Magnoliopsida; Arecales; Arecaceae
Description: long non-coding RNA (PDAC_LNC015348)
Source: RNAcentral